GCGGGUGUGGCGGAAUUGGUAGACGCGCCAGACUUAGGAUCUGGUGACGCGAGUCAUAGGGGUUCGAGUCCCUUCACCCGCACCA
Molecule: transfer RNA, 85 nt
Filed under: Alphaproteobacteria bacterium
Lineage: Bacteria; Pseudomonadati; Pseudomonadota; Alphaproteobacteria
Description: tRNA-Leu
Rfam family: tRNA
About the family: Transfer RNA (tRNA) molecules are approximately 80 nucleotides in length. Their secondary structure includes four short double-helical elements and three loops (D, anti-codon, and T loops). Further hydrogen bonds mediate the characteristic L-shaped molecular structure. tRNAs have two regions of fundamental functional importance: the anti-codon, which is responsible for specific mRNA codon recognition, and the 3' end, to which the tRNAs corresponding amino acid is attached (by aminoacyl-tRNA synthetases). tRNAs cope with the degeneracy of the genetic code in two manners: having more than one tRNA (with a specific anti-codon) for a particular amino acid; and 'wobble' base-pairing, i.e. permitting non-standard base-pairing at the 3rd anti-codon position.
Source: RNAcentral